CCGAUCCUCCCACCCUUUGUGUACCCACCUCUGUUGCUUUGGCGGGCCGCGGUCCUCCGCGGCCGCCCUCCGUCCGGGGGGUGGCCAGCGCCCGCCAGAGGACCAUCGAACUCCGGUCAGUGAACGUUGCCGUCUGAAAAACAAUCAAUAAACUAAAACUUUCAACAACGGAUCUCUUGGUUCUGGCAUCGAUGAAGAACGCAGCGAAAUGCGAUAAGUAAUGUGAAUUGCAGAAUUCAGUGAAUCAUCGAAUCUUUGAACGCACAUUGCGCCCCUCGGUAUUCCGAGGGGCAUGCCUGUUCGAGCGUCAUUACAACCCUCAAGCUCUGCUUGGUGUUGGGCACCGCCCUUCCGCGGGCGCGCCUCAAAGACCUCGGCGGUGGCGUCUUGCCUCGAGCGUAGUAGAAAACACCUCGCUUUGGAGCGCACGGCGCCGCCCGCCGGACGAACCUUUUGAACUUUCUCAAGGUUGACCUCG
Molecule: ribosomal RNA, 478 nt
Filed under: Neoscytalidium dimidiatum
Lineage: Eukaryota; Fungi; Ascomycota; Dothideomycetes; Botryosphaeriales; Botryosphaeriaceae
Description: eukaryotic LSU rRNA
Rfam family: 5.8S ribosomal RNA (bases 157-310)
Source: RNAcentral